Molecule: long non-coding RNA, 434 nt
Organism: Erinaceus europaeus (western European hedgehog)
Lineage: Eukaryota; Metazoa; Chordata; Mammalia; Eulipotyphla; Erinaceidae
Exons: 3
Source: RefSeq, a predicted model, not a curated record
AAUUUGUAAAGUCCUCCUAGAAUUUAUCUAUCAUGUCCAAAAAAACAAAGCUAGCAAAAUGUGCAACCAAAUCCAACACUUGAGAGGACCCUAUUUGUCAAGAUGCAGUUUCUUCUGAUUCUGAAAAACCACUGCCUUCUCCACUAACAAGUUUGUUGGGUCUCCAGAAAGUUGACCUUUUCUGUGAAGAACCAAGAAUAGAAAUAAUUAUGCUGUUGUAUCUGGUCAUGUCUUUGCUAGUAUAUUUGCAGAUGUCCUGAUAACACUAUAGUGUUGAAGAUAUAAAGGUCAUUUCUAAUGAGUGAAAACAUUUUUGAUUUCACACUUCCCACAUCUUGUACUCUGUUUAUAAGAACUACUGAAGAUGGAUUAAGCUUUUCAAAAAAUUAAAUGGUAGUCUAUCACUUCAAAUCAAAUAAAUCCUUCUUUUUAUU